Molecule: ribosomal RNA, 497 nt
Filed under: uncultured bacterium
Lineage: Bacteria
Description: partial 16S ribosomal RNA
Rfam family: Bacterial small subunit ribosomal RNA
Source: RNAcentral
AUUGAACGCUGGCGGCAUGCCUUACACAUGCAAGUCGAACGGUAACGCGGGGCAACCUGGCGACGAGUGGCGAACGGGUGAGUAAAGCAUCGGAACGUGCCAAUAGUGGGGGAUAGCCCGGCGAAAGCCGGAUUAAUACCGCAUACGACCUGCGGGUGAAAGCGGGGGAUCGCAAGACCUCGCGCUGAUGGAGCGGCCGAUGUCAGAUUAGGUAGUGGGUGGGGUAAAGGCCUACCAAGCCGACGAUGUGUAGCUGGCUUGAGAGGACGACCAGCGACACAGGGACUGCGACGCGGCCCGGACUCCUACGGGAGGCAGCGGUGGGGAAGUUUGGACAAGGGGGGAAACACUGAUCCAGCCAUGCCGCGGGCGGGAAGAAGGCCUUCGGGUUGUAAAGCGCUUUUGUCGGGGAAGAAAUCCCUCAGGCUAAUACCUUGAGGGGAUGACGGUAACCGAAGAAUAAGCACCGGCUAACUACGUGCCAGCCGCCGCCAGCG